This 353-nucleotide unclassified non-coding RNA is filed under the name soil metagenome. RNAcentral's name for it is "partial contains 5.8S ribosomal RNA, internal transcribed spacer 2, and large subunit ribosomal RNA". The stretch from base 1 to 120 matches the Rfam family "5.8S ribosomal RNA", at positions 35 to 154 of the family's 154-position model. The record is from RNAcentral.
GAUGAAGAACGCAGCGAAAUGCGAUAAGUAAUGUGAAUUGCAGAAUUCCGUGAAUCAUCGAAUCUUUGAACGCACAUUGCGCCCCCUGGCAUUCCGGGGGGCAUGCCUGUCCGAGCGUCAUUUCUGCCCUCCAGCCCGGCUGGGUGUUGGGCGCUGUCCCCCCGGGGACACGCCCCAAAGGCAGUGGCGGCGCCGCGUCGGGUCCUCGAGCGUAUGGGGCUUUGUCACCCGCUCGGGACGGACUCGUCGGCGCUGGUCUUCCUCCAGGCGACCCUUCGGGGCUCGUCUUCCUUCGGUUGACCUCGGAUCAGGUAGGGUUACCGCUGAACUUAAGCAUAUCAAUAAGCGGAGGA